Molecule: ribosomal RNA, 457 nt
Filed under: uncultured bacterium
Lineage: Bacteria
Description: bacterial SSU rRNA
Rfam family: Bacterial small subunit ribosomal RNA
Source: RNAcentral
UACGGGAGGCAGCAGUGGGGAAUAUUGCACAAUGGGCGCAAGCCUGAUGCAGCCAUGCCGCGUGUAUGAAAAAGGCCUUCGGGUUGUAAAGUACUUUCAGUCGUGAGGAAGGUGUUAAGGUUAAUAACCUUAGCAAUUGACGUUAGCGACAGAAGAAGCACCGGCUAACUCCGUGCCAGCAGCCGCGGUAAUACGGAGGGUGCGAGCGUUAAUCGGAAUUACUGGGCGUAAAGGGCACGCAGGCGGUUAAUUAAGUUGGAUGUGAAAUCCCCGGGCUUAACCUGGGAAUGGCAUUCAAGACUGGUUAGCUAGAGUCUUGUAGAGGGGGUAGAAUUCCAUGUGUAGCGGUGAAAUGCGUAGAGAUGUGGAGGAAUACCGGUGGCGAAGGCGGCCCCUGGACAAAGACUGACGCUCAUGUGCGAAAGCGUGGGGAGCAAACGAGGGAUUAGAUACCCGU